Triticum dicoccoides is the source of this 432-nucleotide long non-coding RNA. RefSeq lists it as uncharacterized. NCBI's taxonomy places the organism in Eukaryota, Viridiplantae, Streptophyta, Magnoliopsida, Poales, Poaceae. The record is from RefSeq and is a predicted model, not a curated record. The transcript is spliced from 3 exons.
GUUUUAUGAUACAUAGGCUACAAUUUUCAGAACUGAAACACAGCAUGGACGCCCUGCACUGCCCCCACCAGGAUUGCGCUGCCUUGCCCUGCCCGAUCGAUGCCGGCUACGUCGCUACACUCCCCACGGCCAGAUGGUGCAGACUUUGCAGGUGUUCAGAGAAAUGAUGUGCUAUUCAAGGGGUUUGGGAGCACUAAUAAAGAAUCUCUUGCUGAACUUUUUGUACCACUAAUGAUUAAAGUGAGUUCUUUAUAGUUUGCUUCAAUUUAUUGUAGGAGGAUAUCUGGUGCAAAAGCAUAAUUCGAUGCAGCCAUGCUUUUUUGUCGAUGAAUUUAAUUUGACAAUGUUCCUAUAUAGUUCCAGUUAUAAAUGUAGCCUUAGCUCCUUGCAGCAAACAUCUCCACGUAAAGUUAACUCCACCAUGUGUUCAAC